This is a long non-coding RNA of Ipomoea nil (Japanese morning glory), 379 nucleotides long. RefSeq lists it as uncharacterized. The transcript has 2 exons. NCBI's taxonomy places the organism in Eukaryota, Viridiplantae, Streptophyta, Magnoliopsida, Solanales, Convolvulaceae. The record is from RefSeq and is a predicted model, not a curated record.
AUACGGUUUUACGUACGCAGAGAAGCAGUUUAUUGAUUUUUCCGUAAUCAUUAAUGUUUUCCAAGGCAUUAAACUGAAGAAUUGCCUUGACAAUUGAACAGUCAUGCUGGAUAAUUGUAAUCUCUUUUGAGCAAGGACUAUGCUAAUUUGGAAAGGAAUAACUGAGAGUCUAGUUCACAAUUUUCAUCAAGCUUUUGAAUAAAUCGAUUGAUUUGGCAGUAUUAAACUUGACAUUUUCAUGGUAUCGUUUAGAAGGCUUUCUAUGCUAGGACGUAGGAGAGGAAAUCUUUGGUGCAGAAGAACAUGGAGCUUUGUUGCUGUUAGUUGUUACAUGCUCUUUUAUUAAGCUGAUAUACUCUUUAUUUUGCUUGACAUUCAA